Long non-coding RNA from Erinaceus europaeus (western European hedgehog), 490 nucleotides. RefSeq lists it as uncharacterized. Lineage: Eukaryota; Metazoa; Chordata; Mammalia; Eulipotyphla; Erinaceidae. The record is from RefSeq and is a predicted model, not a curated record. The transcript has 2 exons.
UCCGGCUGCUGAGGAGCUUCCACAGGAAGCACAGGAGUCCCCCAGCUUCACAUGUGAAGACCAGCAGGGGAGAGGGGACCCCCUGGGUGCCUGUGUAUGCCUUGAGCCAGGUCUCUGUGCUGGGGGUGACUCUGCCUGGACCCUGGGCAGCUCUGUUGACAGAGACAAGAACAAGAAUAUGUUGGUGGCUGUGGAGCAGAAGAGUGAUGACAACACUGCCUUCCGUGACGUGGAAAGCACUAGGCAGUGCUCCAUGUUCAGCCAUGGGCACGGGGCUCCUACAUGUCCAUCUGUACUGACCCAGACUGCCCCGGAGCCUAACGCUGAGUUUCUGAUGGGCUCUGGGGAUAGGGCCACCCACAUGGCGCCAGUCUACAACUGUGCUCUGGGCCUUCCCUGGCCCCAUGAUUGCAUUAAUAAUGUAAUAUGUUGGUAUAUAGCCUUUUGUUCUAUUUUGCUAUUUACUAAUAAAAAUUAGUCUAUAAUUCUG